This 2367-nucleotide long non-coding RNA is filed under the name Mytilus galloprovincialis (Mediterranean mussel). The record is from RNAcentral. Lineage: Eukaryota; Metazoa; Mollusca; Bivalvia; Mytilida; Mytilidae.
CAGUUUUUAUCAAGUUUAUUGCACACUUCAUUCAUAACAAUACAACAAACUUUUUACAUCUUGUUCUUGUUCCCCAAAAAUAACAUAAAUUAAAUCACAACCUAUGUAUUCAUACUAGUGCAUACAACAACCAAUCGCAUACAUCCUAGACGUCAGGAUCAACUGACUUCAAUUAUCCAUUAUACAUUUCCUUUUUUUCAUAUUCUUUAUGCAUACUUCCAUUCAUCAUUUAAAACAAGAGUUAUCAUCUUCGCUAGCUAAGGAUCUAGUCCCCUCCUCUCUGGUGAGGCAAAGAUACGAUUUAGUCCCCUCUCCUCUGGUGAAGCAAAAAUACAAUUUAGUCCCCUCCCCCCUGGUGAGGCAAAGAUACGAUUUAGUCCCCUCCCCUCUGGUGAGGCAAAAAUACGAUUUAGUCCCCUCCCCUCUGGUGAGGCAAAGAUACGAUUUAGUCCCCUCCCCCCUGGUGAGGCAAAGAUACUAUUUAGUCGUGGUGAGGCAAAGAUACGAUUUAGUCCCCUCCCCUCUGGUGAGGCAAAAAUAUGAUUUAGUCCCCUCCCUUCUGGUGAGGCAAAGAUACGAUUUAGUCCCCUCCCCUCUGGUGAGGCAAAAAUAUGAUUUAGUCCCUCCCCUCUGGUGAGGCAAAGAUACGAUUUAGUCCCCUCCCCUCUAGUGAGGCAAAGAUACAAUUUAGUCCCCUCCCCCCUGGUGAGGCAAAGAUACGAUUUAGUCCCCUCCCCUCUGGUGAGGCAAAAAUACGAUUUAGUCCCCUCCCUUCUGGUGAGGCAAAGAUACGAUUUAGUCCCCUCCCCCCUGGUGAGGCAAAGAUACGAUUUAGUCCCCUCCCCUCUGGUGAGGCAAAGAUACGAUUUAGUCCCCUCCCCUCUGGUGAGGCAAAAAUAUGAUUUAGUCCUCUCCCCUCUGGUGAGGCAAAGAUACGAUUUAGUUCCUCUCCCCUCUGGUGAGGCAAAGAUACGAUUUAGUCCCCUCCCCUCUGGUGAGGCAAAAAUAUGAUUUAGUCCCCUCCCCCCUGGUGAGGCAAAGAUACAAAUCAGUCCAUUCCUCUCAGGUGACACAAUGAUAACGAUCUAGUCUCAUUUUGUCUAGCUAGGCAAAAGUUAAGAUCCAUUACUCUCCACUCUGGCGAGGCAAAGAUUAAGAUCAAUACCCUCCUCUCUGGUAAGGCAAGGAGACAAAUUGAUCGUAAUCCUAAACUAGCGAAGAUGAAGAGUUAUAUACAGUUAUCAUUUAAAUUACACACACAAAUUUAUCAAUAGAUUUCGAAAAAUGUUAGAAGUUUGUAUCCAAUAUAAAAAACAUUGUUAAGUGUAUUUAAACUACUUUUUUUAUACUGAUGUAUUUUGUAAGAAAGUGAGGGCAAUGCAAUGUUAAUGAAAAAUAGUUAAACUUUCCAAUAUGAAAACUGUAAUUUCAGAAAUUUUUCAGAUGUUUUUCAUUGUUAUAAAAAUUACAGCAGGGAUAGGUUUUGACAAAAUUAGAACUGACAUUUUUUAUUUGUUUUUGGCAUUUUGUUGAAACUGCAUGAAUUAAUCUUAAAUUUUGUUCCUUGUCCAACAACUACAAAAGUAAUGCACUGCUUUUUUUUAUCUUUAAUUUACAGUUAAAAAUAGAUUUGAGGUAUAACCUCAAUUCAUGCAACAAUGGGUGUAUAGAAAAUGUUCAUAUUCGCCUAAUUUUUUGCAUUUAGCUUUUCAUAUGUUUAUAAAAUCAUGCAUUAUUUAAUGCACUUAUCUAAAUCUAUAGACACUUAACAUUAAAUAUAUAUAAAAAGAACACUUCAUACUUCAGAGGCCAACAUAAAAAGACCUAAUUUUGACUUAGAUUGAACUAAAGUUUGUUUUUGUUUUAAUUUAAAAAUACAUUACAAGUGUAAAGUGUAUUAUGUAAAUAUCUACAAACUAAGGUCAUGUAUGUUACAAUUCAGUAUGAUAUAUACAUAAUUACAUGUAUCUUAUCAUUAUGUUCACAUGCUGACAAUAAUCAUUAGUAGACAUUUAAAGAUUUUACAAAUAAAAAGUAAUACCUGUUACCAAAGACGAUACACAAAAUAACUAUACAAUUUUCUAUUUUUUACAUAUGGCACGUAAAAAAGGCAAGUCUUAUUUUGGCUAAAAAACAUACACCAGUUCUACACUACUUGAAAUGAAAAAUCAGAGAAAAAUAAAUUUAUUGAUACUAAAUGUUGUAAUUUAUGUGUACAUUACAGCUGAAUAAAUAAAUUUGGUGUAUUUACUGUCUUCUGAUUGGUUAAAAUUAUUAGUUUUAUUUUCAAUGUUGUCAAUUUUGAUGGCGACACGCCCACUCUGACGUUGAGUAUUCAUACGCCAACAUGUGUGUACGUUGUUUUUG